GGGAUUGCCUCAGUAGCGGCGAGUGAAGCGGCAGCAGCUCACAUUUGAAAUCUGACCCCGACGGGGCCCGAGUUGUAAUCUGCAGAGGGUGUUUCGGGUGCGGUCCCGGUCUAGGUUCCUUGGAACAGGGCGUCAUAGAGGGUGAGAACCCCGUCUGCGACCGGCGGCCGAGCCUGUGUGAAACCCCUUCGACGAGUCGAGUUGUUUGGGAAUGCAGCUCCAAAUGGGUGGUAAAUUUCAUCUAAAGCUAAAUAUUGGCCGGAGACCGAUAGCGCACAAGUAGAGUGAUCGAAAGAUGAAAAGCACUUUGGAAAGAGAGUCAAACAGUACGUGAAAUUGUUGAAAGGGAAGCGCUUGCGGCCAGACCCUGCAGGUGGCCGAUCAACCGGUCCUCCGACCGGUGCACUCGUCCACCAGCAGGCCAGCAUCGGUUUGGGCGGCGGGACAAAAGCGGCGGGAACGUAGCUCCCUCCGGGGAGAUCUUAUAGCCCGGUGUGCCAUGCCGCCAGCCCAGACCGAGGACCGCGCUUUGGCUAGGAUGCUGGCGUAAUGGCCGCAAGCGACCCGUCUUGAAACACGGACCAAGGAGUCUAACAUCUAUGCGAGUGUUUGGGUGUCAAACCCGGGCGCGGAAUGAAAGUGAACGGAGGUGGGACCCCUUGACCGGGCGCACCAUCGACCGAUCCAGAUGUCUUCGGAUGGAUUUGAGUAGGAGCAUAGCUGUUGGGACCCGAAAGAUGGUGAACUAUGCCUGAACAGGGUGAAGCCAGAGGAAACUCUGGUGGAAGCUCGCAGCGGUUCUGACGUGCAAAUCGAUCGUCGAAUUUGGGCAUAGGGGCGAAAGACUAAUCGAACCAUCUAGUAGCUGGUUC
Molecule: ribosomal RNA, 872 nt
Filed under: Pseudosolorina saccata
Lineage: Eukaryota; Fungi; Ascomycota; Lecanoromycetes; Peltigerales; Peltigeraceae
Description: Solorina saccata partial large subunit ribosomal RNA
Rfam family: Eukaryotic large subunit ribosomal RNA
Source: RNAcentral